UGACCUCGGAUCAGGUAGGACUACCCGCUGAACUUAAGCAUA
Molecule: ribosomal RNA, 42 nt
Filed under: Cordyceps fumosorosea
Lineage: Eukaryota; Fungi; Ascomycota; Sordariomycetes; Hypocreales; Cordycipitaceae
Also listed under: 1 other name
Description: partial 28S ribosomal RNA
Source: RNAcentral